RNAcentral lists this transfer RNA (72 nucleotides) under Puccinia triticina 1-1 BBBD Race 1. Its description in RNAcentral is "tRNA-Ser (TGA) (tRNA-Ser-TGA-62-1)". It matches the Rfam family "tRNA". Rfam says of the family: Transfer RNA (tRNA) molecules are approximately 80 nucleotides in length. The record is from RNAcentral. Lineage: Eukaryota; Fungi; Basidiomycota; Pucciniomycetes; Pucciniales; Pucciniaceae.
GUGUACUUAGCUCAAUGGUUAUAGCAUCACUCAUGAAUGCUGAGUAUGUGAGUUUGACUCUCACAGUACACG